AUCCGCGCGUAUUCUUCAGUUUUUCACUGACCUCCAGUUCGGCCUUGGUGGUUUGAGGAACACGACCAAAACCCUAACCCUAAUCAUAACCGCAUCCGUCCAUGGCCUCCGAUGCACAUGGCUCCCGUCACAAGCACCGGCGCUCAUCUUCUCCCGAAGAAGUCGAGCGAUCCUCUAAACGUCACAAGCACCGCCACCAUGGCCACCGCCAUCAUCGGCACCGCCACGCUAGCAGGAAACACGAAGAGGAGCAUGAACUCGAUGCCGAAACUGUUAAUAAGGUUCCUUCCCCAACUCUUGGUCCUGAGUCUGACAGGCCUGAUGAUGAUGUGGAGGAGGGGGAGAUUCUUGAAGAGGAGGGUCCCGGUGGCCGAGAUGGUGAGAUUGGAAAAAAGCAUACGGAGUCCGAUGCUGAGUCUGGUGAAAUCAUGGCCACGGGAGGUCGAGGUAUUCGAUCCGAUAAUUCAAAUCCGGUACCUUCCACCGAAGAGAUGUUGCAUGGGAAGGACGCCAUUCCCUCUAAAGAGAAAGUAGUGACUACUGCUAAAGGUUUAGAAACUAAUAGUGAGGAUAUCAACAAUGGUAGAUUUAUUAGUCCACGAUUGGAUGGAGAAGAUGAUACUCGCCAUCAGGGACACACUGGUCACAGUAGAAAUGAAGUUGAUGGUUCUCCUACUCAUUCAAGUGCGGAGUCCGUAGAUGCUAAGCAUGCUAGAGCUAUUUCGGAUGGUUUGGGCAAUGGGUAUUUGGAUCGUAAAUCUUCCAAAGAGGAUAAAUGGCCGCAUGGGGAGCUUGGAUGUUUUAAAGGAAAUGAAAAGCUGAAAGGUGACUAUGACAACGAAGAUCUGGAGGUUAAUGGAGGCAAAUUAAGGAUUCAUAGGAAGAACUCCUCCCCUGAAAGUGGAGGUAGCAAAUAUAGGGCCAGGGAAAGCUCACCUAAUUAUAGGUGUAGGAGUCGAUCCAGAUCAAGUGGUCAUACUCAUAGUGUAAUAGAAGAAUAUGCUCAUUCCAGGAGGAGGAAUGACGAGGAAAGAAUUGGGGAAUAUGGCAGGGAGCGUGGACAUGUGAGUAGGGAUUUGGUGGCAGGUGAUAGAAGGGAGCACAGUUCCAGCUAUUACAGUCGGGAGGCCCGAGAUAGAGAUAGGAGCAAGGACAGGGAUGGGGAUAGGGACCUAAGAAGAGAAAAGGAACGGGAAAGGAGCCGGAAUAGGGAGGAUGAUCGUGUGCAUAGGAGGGGAAAAGAACGUGAAAGGAGUCAUGAGAAGGAUAGAAGGGAUGUGGAAAAAGAUAGGAGCUGGGGAAGAGAGGUGGACAGGGAUAGACGAAGAGAAAAGGAGCGAGAUAGAGAGAGGAGCUGGGAGAUUGUGGCUGAGCGGCAUAGAAGUGAUAGGGGACGAGAGAGGAGUAGGGACAGAGGAAGGGUUGGGGAGAGAGAUAGAGUUCGUGAGAGUGAAAGGGAUGAUAAACAUCGAGAAAGAGAUAAGAUUAGGGAGAGGGAGAGGCGUAAGGAUAGAAAUGUUCUUGAUAAAGAUAAAAAUCUGGGUUAUGAGCAUGGUAAUGAGAGCCGGGACGGAGAUAUGCGCCGUAAGCAUUUGAGACAUGAAGAAGCAGAAAGCCAUAGGGAGAAAAAAAGAAAUUCUGAGUCUGUGACAGUUGAUAAACCUGUGGACAGGGGUGAGGAUGAACAAGAUGACCUGGAUGAGACGGUUACGUUGCCAUUUGCAGAACAAGAAGAGGAAGACCUCAAUAGAAUUAAGGAGGAGAGUAGAAGGAGGAGGGAAGCAAUCUUAGAGAAAUAUAAAAAGCAGCAACCACAGCAGCAUCAACAUGAAGAACAAACUUCUGAAAAUAAAGAAAAAGAUAAGGAUCCUGUGAAUGUUCCGGCUACUGUUUCUGAAGCUCCUGAUGCUAAGAACGAUGGUGCUGAUGUUUUUGAAACGGAACCAUCUUUUGCUGUUGGUAAAUCUCCCCGAGAAAAUGGAAAUGAUGCAUCUGAAAAGAUCCCUGGUGUUGCUGGGGGCUUGGGAGAGGGUUCACCAAAGAGUGAAAGAUCCGAUGACCAGUUUUGUGAUGACAUAUUUGGUGAGACACCAACAGGAGUUCGCAAAUCAGGCAAAGGGGAUGGAUUGCGUGUUGACAGGGGUGGAUUGCAUGACAAUUGGGAUGAUGCAGAGGGGUAUUACAGUUAUCGUUUUGGUGAAAUACUUGAUGGUCGAUAUGAAGUCACAGCAGCUCAUGGUAAAGGUGUCUUUUCAACAGUUGUUCGUGCAAAGAAUCUAAAAGCUGGUAAUGGUGAGCCAGAAGAAGUAGCUAUAAAAAUUAUUCGUAAUAAUGACACCAUGUACAAGGCUGGUAUGGAUGAGUUGGUCAUACUAAAGAAAUUAGUAGGUUCAGAUCCAGAUGAUAAGCGUCAUUGUGUUCGUUUCCUUUCAAGUUUUAAGUACAGGAAUCACCUUUGUUUAGUUUUUGAAUCUCUUCAUAUGAAUCUGCGUGAGGUUUUAAAGAAGUUUGGUCGCAAUAUUGGCCUUAGGCUAACAGCUGUGAGAGCGUACGCGAAACAACUCUUUAUUGCAUUGAAGCAUCUUCGGAACUGUGGUGUUCUCCAUUGUGAUAUAAAGCCAGACAAUAUGUUGGUGAAUGAAGCAAAAAAUGUUUUGAAGCUUUGUGACUUUGGUAAUGCUAUGUUUGCUGGAAAGAAUGAAGUCACACCAUACCUUGUGAGUCGCUUUUAUCGUGCCCCUGAAAUAAUACUUGGCUUGUCAUAUGAUCAUCCGUUAGAUAUUUGGUCUGUUGGAUGUUGUUUGUACGAACUUUAUACUGGAAAAGUUCUUUUCCCAGGUGGUACUAACAAUGACAUGCUACGGCUUCACAUGGAAUUGAAGGGUGCUUUUCCGAAGAAGAUGCUUCGUAAGGGAGCAUUUAUUGAUCAGCAUUUUGACCAGGACUUGAAUUUUCUUGCUACAGAAGAGGAUCCAGUGACGAGAAAGGCUAUAAAGCGGUUGAUUCUCAACAUGAAGCCCAAAGACAUUGGAACUAUCAUUGCUGGCUCUCCUGGAGAGGAUCCGAAGAUGUUAGCUAAUUUCAAAGAUCUUCUGGACAAGGUUUUUGUCCUGGAUCCGGAGAAGAGGUUGACAGUCUCACAAGCAUUAAGCCAUCCAUUCAUCACUGGCAAGUGAACAAUGUUGCUGAUUUUGACUCCGAAAUGAUGUUUGCUGAUUUUUGUACAUAAUGACCCAAUUCAUAGUGAUUCUAAUCAUUUGAUAUUAUUUAUCUUCUAUGCCUCCUCCGAGGGGUGUCAGCAACACUAGUUGGCCCGUUGAAGUGAUAAGGGUGAUGUCUGAUCAGGAGUACACUUUACUGGCGGUUCUUUCAGUGGAAUCUUUCAGUGGAAUGUACUGUUUCUAUUGAGGCAUUGUGAGGCAACCCUCCAGUCCUUAGGUGCUUUAAAGGCACUCAGGAGAAGGCAUUUCCACUGGAGGUGUUUGGCCGUCUUCUUGAAGGGGAUUCGUAUCUGAGGGGGUAAUUAAAUCCAGAAACUUCUGUUCACUUAACCUUUUGGUACAGUAUCUUUGGUCCUGCUAUUUUUGUAAGUAUAUACAUGUCCAACUUAACUUUCUCUUUCUUUGCAUUUAUAUGACUGAUGAUCAAUGGCCUGAGGUUUCCAAUGGGUAGUCAUUCUCGGUUUUCAUUUGUGCAUUGAUAUUUCAUGACCUCCAUGGAUUCAAUGUAUUCCAAUGGGUAGUCAUUCUCAGAUUAUUCAACAGCUGUGUUCAUGAUGGUGAAAUUUGGGCUGUAUCGAACAUUCUUUCUUAAUCCUAUGUUCCUCUGAAUUAGAUGUAUUGCUAAUGAUCCCCUUCCUCAUAUCAUGGCUGUCUGGAUUCCCCUUUAAACAUUCCCUUUUGUAAGUCCGUUCCAUAUUACUCCUUCAGAUUGGAAUCUCCAUCCUCAAACGUGUCUAUUUUUUGCUGUCAAUCCUGAAUAGGUCUUCUCCACAACUUCAUAUGUGCCAGUGUUUCUACGUUUGUUUGCUGAUCCAUCAUUGAUGGUCUAGAAAGUGUUUUCUCUUAUAGCAGUUCAGUAAUAUUAUUGUGUAGUAGAUAUUGAUGCCAACUUUUUGCCAAGUAGCUAAGAAGUAAACAUAGUCUCUCUCUUAAGUUAACUAUUUGCCAACUCUUAUGCUAAUUGCCAUUUUUUCAAUCUGUUCUUUGAACAUAUGGUUGUGUCAGCUGGUUUCCUAAGAACUGGAUUCUUUGAUUAUUUUUCUUAAUGGUAGUAAUUUCGUUGCUCAAGGUCCUACCAAGGUAUUACGCAUGCUAUGACGUUGUACAUAUUGUAGUAGAAGCUCUACUUCUAGGCACGUUUCCUGUGGCAUGUCAAAUGCAGGGAGAGGGAAAAUCUACUGUUAUGUUUAGAAAAUAAUAAAAUUACAAGGAAUGCAUAACUGUAGUGGUUUUUUCCCAACUGAUAUGGGCUUAUGCGUCUGCUUGAGACCCAUUAAAGUUUGAAGAACCACCAAAAUAUCUGCGAAGCUUAUUUUAAAGUUUUGGUUUGGGAGACAUGGUUACUCUGGGGCAGCAACGUAUCGAAGAAAAAGAAAAAGAAAUCGGGUGCCUGAUUUGUAUAUUUUUGAUAUUCUUGAAAAUGCCUAGAGUUUAUAGAGGUCCUUGAUGUGCAUGAGGUUGAAGAUUGGUAUUUAAUUGUAAUUGAGAAUUAUAUUUUUAAUUUAAUAUAUGCUAAUAUGAAUGGCUUGUUAUGAACA
Molecule: RNA transcript, 4759 nt
Organism: Neltuma alba
Lineage: Eukaryota; Viridiplantae; Streptophyta; Magnoliopsida; Fabales; Fabaceae
Gene name: serine/threonine-protein kinase prp4
Exons: 15
Source: RefSeq, a predicted model, not a curated record